UCGGCCUUGUUGCCGAGCUCCGUUCAAGUUCAUAGGUUUGUUGUUGACGCCCUUGCUGGCCGAACGCGAAUCGCAACUAGAUUUGGUAGGUGCACUUAUGUGUAUUUUGAAUCUGGCUUGUGAGUUGCCGAGGCUUACGAGAGCAUCUCCAGCGAAUUGGGCUACCAGCAACUGCUGGCCUGCCCGGAAUGAAUGUACCUCAUCUAUGGAUCUCAGAUUAAGUAAGACUA
Molecule: ribosomal RNA, 230 nt
Filed under: Skeletonema costatum
Lineage: Eukaryota; Bacillariophyta; Thalassiosirophyceae; Thalassiosirales; Thalassiosiraceae
Description: partial 28S ribosomal RNA
Source: RNAcentral